UAAUACGAANGGUGCGAGCGUUGCUCGGAAUUAUUGGGCGUAAAGGGUAGGUAGGUUGUCUCAUUUGUCUGGGGUGAAAGCCUUGAGCUUAACUCAAGAAGUGCCCCAGAAACGGUGAGACUAGAAUCUGUGAGAGGGUCGUGGAAUUCCCGGUGUAGCGGUGAAAUGCGUANAGAUCGGGAGGAACACCAGAGGCGAAGGCGGCGACCUGGAACAGUAUUGACACUCAACUACGAAAGCGUGGGUAGCAAACAGGAUUAGAUACCCUGGUAGUCCACGCCGUAAACGAUGGGUACUAGGUUUGGUGGGUCUUGACCCCCGCCGAACCGGAGCUAACGCAAUAAGUACCCCGCCUGGGAAGUACGGUCGCAAGACUAAAACUCAAAGGAAUUGACGGGGGCCCGCACAAGCGGUGGAUCAUGUGGUUUAAUUCGAAGCAACGCGAAAGAACCUUACCUGGGUUUNACAUCCCCUGACAAANGUAGAGAUACGCUUUUCGUAGCAAUACGACANGGAGACAGGUGCUGCNUGGCUGUCGUCAGCUCGUGUGGNGACAUGUUGGAUUAAGUCCCGCAACGAGCGCAACCCUUGUCCUUAGUUGCCAGCAUUUAGUUGGGCUCUCUAAGGAGACUGCCGUGGUGAACACGGAGGAAGGUGGGGAUGACGUCAAGUCCUCAUGGCCUUUAUAUCCAGGGCGACACACGUGAUACAAUAGACGGUACAGAGGGAAGCGAAACCGCGAGGUGGAGCCAAUCUCAAAAAGCCGUUCUCAGUUCGGAUUGGAGUCUGCAAUUCGACUCCAUGAAGUUGGAAUCGCUAGUAAUCGCGGAUCAGCACGCCGCGGUGAGUACGUUCCCGGGCCUUGNACACACCGCCCGUCACACCAUGGGAGCUGACUCAACCAGAAGACGGUCAGGGUAACCGUAAGGAGCCCUCCGGCGAAGGUGGGGUUGGUGACUGGGGUG
This 965-nucleotide ribosomal RNA is filed under the name uncultured bacterium. RNAcentral's name for it is "bacterial SSU rRNA". It matches the Rfam family "Bacterial small subunit ribosomal RNA", at positions 521 to 1482 of the family's 1533-position model. The record is from RNAcentral.